ACUUGGUGUCCUAUUGAAUGACUGAGCUGUCAGUUUAUUUCAAUUCGCUCAAGCGCCCACGCGACCACUCCGCCCGGAGAGAAAAAGAGGGCAGACUCCCAUGCAGUCAGAAUGGACUUGUACAUGACUCCGCUUAUCAGAAUUGCGAAUAACGCGCUACUUGAUGGAAAAAUACUGGAUUUGGUGUGUAGUGGAGACAGUACACAAACCUGUAAAGUCAUUCAGGAAGGAUUUUUCGAAGGGCGUUUGAGUCUUUACCCAGCAACAAUGUCUACCACUACAUUUCUUUAUGUCUUGGCCACCCAUAGAAACGUGUAGAAAUCCUUUGGCGUUAACUGAAGUAGUCGUGUUGUUUGUGCUAAGUCAUCACAUUUCAGUUUUGGAAGUAUAUAUCUAUUAGAUUUGGAAAACAAAUGUAAUUUGGCCCUAUAUGACUGUUAUUAGCUUAGUUGUGUUGUUUCAGAUUUGCACACUAGGUCAUUAUAAGAAAUGCAUUAUAAGUCUGUUAUUCCCACAAUGCAUGUCAGAACGGCAUGAUGUGGAUUUCUGAUUAUAAUGUAGGAAGGUGGAGAGCACCAUUAUGCCUCACCAAAUCAUUCA
Long non-coding RNA from Etheostoma spectabile (orangethroat darter), 600 nucleotides. RefSeq lists it as uncharacterized. The record is from RefSeq and is a predicted model, not a curated record. NCBI's taxonomy places the organism in Eukaryota, Metazoa, Chordata, Actinopteri, Perciformes, Percidae. The transcript is spliced from 2 exons.